Molecule: non-coding RNA, 2171 nt
Organism: Cricetulus griseus (Chinese hamster)
Lineage: Eukaryota; Metazoa; Chordata; Mammalia; Rodentia; Cricetidae
Source: RefSeq, a predicted model, not a curated record
ACCACCACUGCCCUGCCAGCAUCUUAAGUCUUGAAGUCUAACCUGUGUAUAGGUGCAGAAUCUUCCCAAUCUUUUUGUGGAAUGGAUACUUGGCUGAGAUGUUUGCAUUUAUGCCUUUAACACCUGGAGGAACUUAGAUACCAACAAGAAAAUGAUUGUAGCAUAGAUGUUAUUACUUCCGAAGCACUGUGGAGUGUCAAAGAGUACUUCAAAUAUAGCUGUCCAUUGAGUCAACAGUAUAUUGAUGCCAUUCUGUCUUAAAGAUGAGCCAGAAACUAGGAAGAGCCUCCCAAUCUGCCCGGCCUAUCACAGCAUGCCCCUGACAGUAACAAGCACUGUGCUGUGUCUCUCUGUUCAUUUCUGCUGCAGGAUGAAGCAUGGACAACAAAGCAGUAAACAAAGAGUAAUAGCAUUUGAAAGAAACGACAGUGAGCCCUGAAAACAGAACAUGGAAGAACAAGGUCACCCUUUAUUAGAUGGCAAAUGUGUUCGUCAACAACCAUCUUAAAGGGUAAAGCAACAGGAAGGUGCACAGAAUGCACAAAACGGUUUACAAAACAGAGCGAAAGCAACCCCUCUUGGGCCCAUUGGUAGUUUCACCUUCCUGUUGGACAAAAAAGUAGUGCAAAGUUAUCGAAAAGACACGGGGCUUUCCAGGAAAGAACAAUAGCAUCUGUACCCCUGUAAGUCAUGGAGGUGUUAUUUCAGAGAAGUAGCCCUCAGCAUUAUUUCCCUGGCCCUUCAACUCUCCCCGCAUUCCCAGCUUUGGUUUAUGUUCUUACCUGAGCCAUAAUGUUCAAGGCCAGUGGGAACUUCCUGUGUGGCAGUCUCAUCCCAGAGUGGAUAAAGAGGUCUUUGCUGAUGAUAAUUGGACUGGAAACCGCAGGUCAUUCGAGGAUCUUCAAAAGCAUUAAUAGGUCCCUGCCUCUGUGAUCAGUGAAAAUAAAAGGGCUUGCAUUAGGAGAAAAUCCUCUAGAGUUCAAUCCUAUUAUAAAUAUGACUUCAUACUAUCCAAUCACAGAUAUGCAAAAAAAAACCGAUCUAUCAGUCAAAACCAGACAGACACUCAUUCCCAUUUACUUUGCCCUCCAAACUCACAAGGAAUGAGAGGAACUACUGAUUUAGACUAUGACUUCGUUUAUUUCCACCCAUACCUCCAAGCAUCUCAGAAGCAGCUUUUACAACCUUCAAAAUCCUUCCUUUGCAGUAAACAGCAUACAUGACCAUCUCAGAUUUACACAGUCUGACAUUUUUCUAUCAGUAUUAUCUCCCUCUAUAAAAACAUCAUUAAAGAAUGUUCUUACAAGACAAUUCAGUGUUAUAGAAUUUGUGAUAAAUUAAUGCCACAGGAAAAAGGAAAGAGUGGAUCUCUACCAUAAAAUCCAUUUCAUUUGUUAUUAAUUGGUAGGGGUAGGUUUUGAUGACAUAAGUUGCUGGAUAAGAACAGUCAAUUUCCUGUAGUCUUUGGAGAUUUAUGCCGCCUCUUUAUUAGCUUUAUUAAAUUCACAAAAUAGACAUUGUGAGAAAACCAAACAUGCUAUGCAGAAAACCAUGUUUCACAAUGGUUAAAAGCCUAUCCCAUGAAGUCAGAUGAAUUCAGAUAUAUAUAAAUUCAAACCCAGGUUGUACCACUUACACAUAAGAGUAAAGGUCUAUCCCUUAAUCUAAACCUUAUCAAGUAGGAGAGUUGAGGGACUGGAGAGAUGGCUCAGUGGUUAGGAGCAUUUGUUCCUCUAGAGGACCUGGAUUCAAUUCCCAGAAUCCUCAUAGCCCCUCACAACCACCUGUAAUUCCAGUUCCAGGGGAUCCAAUGCCCUCUUCUGGCCUCCUUGGAUGCUAUGCAUACACGUGGUGCACAGUCAUACAUGCAAGCCAACACCCAUACACAUAAAAUAAAAGUCAAACUUUUCAAAUGUAUAAGAAAAUUAUAUAUAAAGCAAUUUAAGUAUCAAAUGUGUUUAAUAAAAUUAUGAACUUAUGAAAUGCAUGUAUAAAUACUCUAUGUAAAACUUUGUCAUCCCUACAAGGUAGGUGUUUUUUUCAACCUAAGAGAUAACUGGGACCUGGUGGCACAGGUCUAUAGCACCAGCUCUUCAGGACGCUGGAGCGGGAGAAAAGCAAGUUCAAGAUCUGUCUGAGCUCUAGGAGAAACUGGCUAUAAAGAAAGUAAC